UUUACUACUACUCCCUCUAACCUUUGUAAAUAUUGCCUAAUAAAACGCACCCCUCCCUAUAUAAUAAUCAAAGUCACCCUAAGUACCGAAAACCAAAAACACCAUAGCCAUUAUAAUAAUAAUGAUGGAAGGAACCACGUGGAGGACCAAGCUUGUUAUCUCUAUCACACUCUUGCCUAUGGCUUCUGAAUCGCCGUUGUUGAGGUUGCUUGGAGCUGAAGCAAGAGGACCAUUUUGCUGUCCUCGCAUGAUAUUCAGUGUGUCAAGGGUUUCCCAACCCUUUGUGACGCCGGAGUUGAUGAUCAUACUCAAAUCUCGCCGUCGCCAAUGGCUUGACUAGGAAUCAUCUCUGUUUUUUUUUUACUGUUAGAUUGAUUUUGGCCUUUUUUUUAAUAUUCAGUGAAUAAAUAAAAUGAGACUUUUAUUU
This is a long non-coding RNA of Gossypium raimondii (Peruvian cotton), 427 nucleotides long. RefSeq lists it as uncharacterized. NCBI's taxonomy places the organism in Eukaryota, Viridiplantae, Streptophyta, Magnoliopsida, Malvales, Malvaceae. The record is from RefSeq and is a predicted model, not a curated record. The transcript has 2 exons.